RNAcentral lists this ribosomal RNA (497 nucleotides) under uncultured bacterium. RNAcentral describes it as "partial 16S ribosomal RNA". It matches the Rfam family "Bacterial small subunit ribosomal RNA", at positions 28 to 507 of the family's 1533-position model. The record is from RNAcentral.
GAUGAACGCUGGCGGCGUGCCUAAUACAUGCAAGUCGAGCGAAUGGACGAGAAGCUUGCUUUUCUGAUGUUAGCGGCGGACGGGUGAGUAACACGUGGAUAACCUACCUAUAAGACUGGGAUAACUUCGGGAAACCGGAGCUAAUACCGGAUAAUAUUUUGAACCGCAUGGUUCAAAAGUGAAAGACGGUCUUGCUGUCACUUAUAGAUGGAUCCGCGCUGCAUUAGCUAGUUGGUAAGGUAACGGCUUACCAAGGCAACGAUGCAUAGCCGACCUGAGAGGGUGUGCGCCCACGCUGGAACUGAGUCCCGGUCCACACUCCUACGGGAGGCAGUAGUAGCGGAUCUUCCGCACUGGUCGUAAGCCUGACCGCGCAACGCCGCGUGAGUGAUGUAAGUCUUCGUAUCGUCAAACUCUGUAAUUAUGGAAGUACAUUUGUGUAAGUAACUGUGCACUUCCUGACGGUCCCUAAUCAGAGAGCCCCGGCUAUCUACGUG